This 468-nucleotide ribosomal RNA is filed under the name uncultured bacterium. Its description in RNAcentral is "partial 16S ribosomal RNA". It matches the Rfam family "Bacterial small subunit ribosomal RNA", at positions 28 to 507 of the family's 1533-position model. The record is from RNAcentral.
GACGAACGCUGGCGGCGUGCUUAACACAUGCAAGUCGAACGGAAAGGCCCUGCUUUUGUGGGGUGCUCGAGUGGCGAACGGGUGAGUAACACGUGAGUAACCUGCCCUUGACUUUGGGAUAACUUCAGGAAACUGGGGCUAAUACCGGAUAGGAUCUCCUGCUGCAUGGUGGGGGUUGGAAAGUUUCGGCGGUUGGGGAUGGACUCGCGGCUUAUCAGCUUGUUGGUGGGGUAGUGGCUUACCAAGGCUUUGACGGGUAGCCGGCCUGAGAGGGUGACCGGCCACAUUGGGACUGAGAUAGGGCCCAGACUCCUACGGGAGGCAGCAGUGGGGAAUAUUGCACAAUGGGCGGAAGCCUGAUGCAGCAACGCCGGGUGCGGGAUGACGGCCUUCGGGUUGUAAACCGCUUUCGCCUGUGACGAAGCGUGAGUGACGGUAAUGGGUAAAGAAGCACCGGCUAACUACGUG